RNAcentral lists this long non-coding RNA (4599 nucleotides) under Ficedula albicollis (Collared flycatcher). RNAcentral's name for it is "lncRNA (ENSFALG00000023778.1)". The record is from RNAcentral. Lineage: Eukaryota; Metazoa; Chordata; Aves; Passeriformes; Muscicapidae.
AUGGGGAAAACUCAGAAUUGGGUCCCUAAUCCCACAGCUCCUGGUGUGUUCCCAAAGCGAGAAAUGGGGGAACAAUGGGAAGAACUCAGAGUUGAGUCCCUAAUUCCAGAGCUGUCAGAGCAUUCCCAAAGCAAGAAAUGGGGGAAUGGGAAAAGCCUGGAUGAGCACCUAAUCCCACAGUUGUUAGGAUGUUCCCAAAGUGAGAAAUGGGGGAACAGUGGGAAGAAGUCAGAAGAGUCCCUAAUCCCAGAGCUGUUGGGAUGUUCCCAAAGUGAGAAAUGGGGGAACAGUGGGGAAAACUCAGAAUUGGAUCCCUAAUCCCACAGCUCUUGGUGUGUUCCCAAAGUGAGAAAUGGGGAACACUUUCUCAGAGUCCCUGAUCCCACAGCUGCUAGGGCAUUCCCAAAGUGAAAAUUGUGGAAACAGUGGGAAGAACUCAGAAGAGUCCCUAAUCCCAGAGUUGCCAGGAUAUUCCCCAAGGGAGGGAUGAAAAAACACUCCCACCCCCACCUUUGCCAGGGCACAGCCCUUCUCAAAACCUCAGCACAGUUUGAGUCUGCACUCGAAAUUCUGACUUUAAAGAAAAGCUAUUUAUACAUUUCAGGGUGAAAUCAGUGGAGAAAUCUUAAUUUCUUCCCAGUGCUCUCAUUGGGGUUCUGGAAAAUAUUUCCUGGCUGGCUGCAAUGUGCUCCUUGCUGUUGCUUAGAUUAUCCCUGGAGGAUUUCUGUCCUAAAAACUAAGCAAGGCAAGGGGGAGAUUCUUCAGCUGAAGAAUUCCUUUUCACAAAAAAGAGUGAUUUCCAAAGGUAAAAAAUAGCAAAGGAUGUUACUUGAAAGAGGCAGGAACUUGGUGGUGGAUUUUCCAGAAGAGUUUGCACACUGUAACAUUUCACUGUGCUGCUGAGAAACCAGCUUUUAAGUACUUGCAACAGAAUUUUUAUUGUUCCUAAAUGAUAGAACAGGAAUGCUGGCAGCCUGUCCUGACUUAAUUCAGUAUCAUUUGAAAGGAGGCUUUAUAAAUCCCUGACUGAAGGAUUAUAAAGUACCUUAGCAGCCACUUACAGGUAAUUAUUGGAGUUUAUUUGAAUAAGCUGAUUAUUGUAGCAUGCAUGUGUUCAGAAUUUAGGUGAGAACAGCCCAGCAGGAAUUUUUUAUUUUCAUAUUCCUCUGCCUUAGGGACAGCUCAGUCUUUUACUGCAACUGCAGCUUCUCUUUAUGACCAGAUGUUUGUGAUACAGCAAGAAAUGGAAUGAAAAAUCUCUUGCAGGACACUUAAAAUAUUUCAGAUGUAUCUGCACAGCUCAUCCCAUGGCAGGAAAACAAGAUUUAACUCCAGCCAUUAAACCAGAGGCUAAACUAGAAUUUAUGCUUUACUGAAGAGAUGUGUUUUUUACCUUUGGAAUACAAAAUAAGUGAGAUUUCAGUGACCUGAAGCACAUUUUAGGUGGCUUUGGUCUUCAUUGCUGGGUGCCUGUCCUGUGAGUGUUGCACAGUGCAGAGGUGAAAUUCCAGGUGCUGCAGGCUGGGAUAGAAAUAUUGAUAAGAUUUCAUUCCUCACUUUUCCUCCUCGAUUUAAAAAGCUGUCUGAAUUGAAGACUCUAAUAUUUUGUUUUAUUUUUUUUUUAUUUGCACACCACGAGACUUUAUAGAAAAAACUACUUGUAUCCUGCUAGAGGCCAGUAAAAGCCAGCAAUUAGUUUGUGUUUUUAGGCUUUCCUGGGGUAUUCCCUGGAUCACAAGUGUGGAGCAUCCUGAUAAAGCUCGUGAGUUUUAUCUAUGCAUGGCUAAAUUUUAGUCUUAAUAUCCUGUAGUGCCUGUAGAGCAAAGGUAGCUAGCAGUGGGGUUUGUGGGGGGGGGCUGCCAGGGGUUUACAGCUAAAUCCAGUUGGUUGCAUGAAAUUAUUUCAGAGCCCAGAAUUUUCAGGAGUCCCAGAAUUCUGGUGGUAAAGCUGCAAAUCCAAAGGGGCAUUAGGAAAUUGAGCCCCAAUUGGAAUUGCUUUGCCAGUGAACUGGGUGUAAACCCAGCUGUUCCAGUCCCAGUUCUCUCACCUGCAAAGCCAUAUUUUUAGAGUAGUGGGAUGUGAUGUGGGAAGAAAUUCCAGUGGUUGGGACAGCAGGCACGUGGUGGAGGCUUUGUCUCAACUCGUGAGUGGAUCCAGAGUAGAUUUAAGUGCAAUUGAUUGAAAAUAGAUGAAAAUGCUGUCGCUGAUUUUUGCUCUGCUGAACUCUUUUUUUAAGAACUCCAAUUUGUGCAGCUCUCAAAUCAAUUUGGAUGGGGCUGAUCCAGCUGGAAUUUCAAGCCCUGUGAACAAAAAAAAAAAAAAAAAAGAAAGAAAAAAAAAAAAAGGAAAUAAUUGGGGUGUGACUGUGCAAAUUGAGCUGUUCCUUAAAAAAACUGGGGCAGGAGAGCUUGGAACAAAGGCCUAGAACCCUCCUGUGCUGUGCUGCAUGUGCUCUAUGGUCAUAGCUGUGUAUUACAAAGACCUUUCACCAGACUGGUACUGGCUCAAUUAAUGUAUUUUGGUAUUGAAAGAAAUUGAUUACCUCAAUUUUUAUCGUUUAUUUUUCAACUGUGACUUUCAACCAGAACGGGAAAAAAAAAAAAAGAAAAAAGAAAAAAAAACCACAAAAAUACCGAAAUAGUGAAACUGUGACAAUGGUAUCCUUUAAAUGUUGUAGUGCCUUGCAGAUGACACCAUUUAUUCCCCAAAUAAAUGGAUGUCAGGGGUUGCACCCCCUUUGUCUUUUUUUUAAAGGAAAAAUAACGGUUUUGGUGAAAGGACUUAAAAAUUUAACCUAGUGACAAAUAUUAGCACAAAUGGUUAAACUGUUUAAAAGAAAACUCUUUGAGGACUGAGAUAUGUAAAUGCCUGAUGCUGCUGCUGUUGAAGAGCAGUUGCUGAUUUUUUGGGAGUCGAUUCUAACGAUCAGCAGCUCUUUUUGAAUUUUUUUUUUUUUUAAAUUUUAUUAAGAAGAGUGUAACUUUUGUACUCUGGUCAGAGCUGGUUUUGUACUUUGUGGAAUCCCCAGCCCAGGGGGUUUGGUGUCCUCACUCCAUGGAAGUCAAGGUGAGGAUGGAGAUAACUCUGAAGGAUUGAGGUUUGAACUUUUUUUGCUACUGUAUAAUUAAAAACCAACAACAACAACAACAAAAAAAAGCACCAUUUCUAACCCACUGAUGUUUGGAUACAGCAAAAGUGCCAUUACACUGUUCCUUUUCUCUUUUACUGUACUUGGAAAAAUUUGUGUCCAGGCAUUCCUGAGCUUGGGAAGUGCUGAAGAGUCCUCAAGGGGUUUCCACGCUUUGCUGACUGUGUUAGCAGCUUGUGGUGGUGUUUUUUUCUUUCUCCUCAGAGAAUGAGUGUGAUCAGAAGUUACUGAAGUUAUAGGGAUUCAAAUGUGACAAACUUAGCAGGGGAACCUUUGCAACUGGAGCUGCUCUGCAAUCUGGGAGUAUUUGAAUUUUAAGCUGUGCAAUUUGGGAUUAAUCCAGUUUUACACUUUGCAAUUAACACACCUGAUUGCAGGGAGGAGUUAAGUUGCAUGUGAGGGUUCCCUAAUAAGUUGAGCUUUUUUUUUUUUUUUAAUUAUUAUUUUUUAAAUUGAAACUUGUCUGAAUUUGCACAGAUUUAAGCUCUAGAAUACUUUGGUAUUCUUGAAAAGGGAAAAAAAAUUGUGACUAGUAUAGUGAAUUGUGAACUGUGAGUUGGUAGAAUCACAAGGUUGAUCUAAUCUUAGGUUGUUAAAAAUGUACCUCAGAAAGCUCAUGAGAAAUUUGCUUCAUUUUUACACAACAACCAGAUCCUGACAUAACACUUCUCACUUUACAAUGUGCCAAAAUUCACUUUUAUACUAGUUCUCAGUGCUUUAAUAUUUGCAACUCUAAGUUAAAAACGUGUUAUUUACAAACACUACUGUAACUUCAGUUCAGCUGAAUGGUGUGAUUGAAGCUUUUUGCCUCUCCUAUUUAUUACACAACUUGAUUCAGUAAAUAUAAAAUGACCUUUCCAUUUAUUUUUGUAUUGUUUUACAUGUUUAUACCUGCAGUUUGUGUGACUUUUACUCCUGUAACUCAGAUGUGAUGGAAAGAACCAAUAAACAGUAUCCAUCCACUGCCUGGCUCUGACUCCUUUAAUAAACUCACAGGUUCCUAAACUGGAAUUUUUAAGCUUUGAGUGGUUUUCAUUUGAAACUUUUAAGAUGGCAGAAAGGCAAGUUGUUUACAUUUAAAUUAAAAUAUAAAAACUUAAGGUUUUGUGGGAUUUUUUAGCUGCUGUUUUAAGUUCAGACCUUCUUGCUUGGGCUUUUAAUUGGGUAAAAUUCAAAUUAGAAGAAGAAGAUUAAUCUGCUUUGUGCUGCAGUCUCUGUUUCUCAGCAGCUGUGUGUGAGCAUAAGUUGAUAUUUACAGAUUUACAAAUACAGGGAGGUGCUAAACCUUUUCUGUGUGCUCCCAGAAAUGAGGAUGCAGCUUCAAGCUCCCUGGAUCUGCAACCCACGGGGAGGGCAAUCCCACCUUACCCUUCUUUCCCUGAGGGGCUGGGCAUGGAUCAGAUUUUUGCUGGUUAAACUCUGCCUGCAGCUGAUUUUCUCUCUCUGUUUUG